AGCCCGGAUGUUGGCUGAGAAGCAGCCAUCAUUUAAAGAAAGCGUCCUAGCUCACUGGUCGAGUCGGCCUGCGCGGAAGAUGUAACGGGGCUAAACCAUGCACCGAAGCGGCGGCAGCGACACUAUGUGUUGUUGGGUAGGGGAGCGUUCUGUAAGCCUGCGAAGGUGACCGGUGAGGGUUGCUGGAGGUAUCAGAAGUGCGACUGCUGACAUAAGUAACGAUAAAGCGGGUGAAAAGCCCGCUCGC
Molecule: ribosomal RNA, 247 nt
Filed under: Klebsiella pneumoniae
Lineage: Bacteria; Pseudomonadati; Pseudomonadota; Gammaproteobacteria; Enterobacterales; Enterobacteriaceae
Description: partial 23S ribosomal RNA
Rfam family: Bacterial large subunit ribosomal RNA
Source: RNAcentral